Long non-coding RNA from Papilio polytes (common Mormon), 187 nucleotides. RefSeq lists it as uncharacterized. The record is from RefSeq and is a predicted model, not a curated record. Lineage: Eukaryota; Metazoa; Arthropoda; Insecta; Lepidoptera; Papilionidae. The transcript has 3 exons.
AGCUCGCGCCGCCGCCGCUACAUGUCAACCAUUCACAGAGAAUGGGCACACCGGUGACAGGAACGCCUCAAGGCGGCGUCUUUUCACCGCAACUAAGCGUUGAGGACGAUGGCCUAAAGCAACAAUUCUCUCAUCAAACGAUACAAAGGGAUUCACCGAUACUGGAUACAAUGCCGCCGAGUGGAUC